AGAGGACAGAAGGAAACUGUUCUUUCCAACACAAGGUGGUUUUUGGGACUGAUCUUUGCUGCUGAAUCAUUGGUGCAUGAGCAUGUCAAAGCAGACAGAUGAAUAAGACCUUCGGACAUGUUCUUGCUCCAAUGAUACAGGAGCUGAGCUCGGUUUUCGCCUCCUUUUUUUGGACUGAAGGGUUUCCUUAUUAUUCCUCU
RNAcentral lists this microRNA precursor (200 nucleotides) under Nicotiana attenuata. RNAcentral describes it as "pre miRNA MIR159". Lineage: Eukaryota; Viridiplantae; Streptophyta; Magnoliopsida; Solanales; Solanaceae. The record is from RNAcentral.